GCGGAUGUGGCGGAACUGGCAGACGCGCAGGAUUUAGGUUCCUGUGUCCUUGUGACGUGCAGGUUCGAUUCCUGUCAUCCGCA
This is a transfer RNA of Weissella kandleri, 83 nucleotides long. It matches the Rfam family "tRNA". Rfam says of the family: Transfer RNA (tRNA) molecules are approximately 80 nucleotides in length. Their secondary structure includes four short double-helical elements and three loops (D, anti-codon, and T loops). The record is from Rfam. Lineage: Bacteria; Bacillati; Bacillota; Bacilli; Lactobacillales; Lactobacillaceae.